RNAcentral lists this long non-coding RNA (643 nucleotides) under Stegodyphus dumicola. Its description in RNAcentral is "uncharacterized LOC118184123, transcript variant X2". Lineage: Eukaryota; Metazoa; Arthropoda; Arachnida; Araneae; Eresidae. The record is from RNAcentral.
GUUGUCAUGGCCGGUUGAACGCAUUUUUAUUCUGGACAAAACAUAUUGGAAUUAAGAAGACUCAGCUAGUUUCUAUAACUUCGAUGGGGUUUAAACAUGGUUGUUAAAAAGAUAUUCUGAAUAUUUCAAGAGUAUUAAAGAGCAGCUGGAGCCCCCAUUCGAAACAAUAUAUUCAGGGAGGAUUCCUUUCUUCAUAGAAUUUGGAAUUACUUCUGCAGUUAUGAUUUUUUGGCUGUGUAUACCAGAUAGGAAAGAAUGGAGUCUGAUGAAUAUUUAAUGCAUUCAGAUGACGUAUUUUAAAAUGGAUUUUACUGCGGAGGUAGGCGAAGGAGAGGGGAGUCGGAAUUUUUCAAAAGAGUAUUUCUGCUACUUUUUAUUUGAUGCACCGAGAUUGAUGUUCAUGCUUUCCUUCUGAGAUAUGGAAAUAGGAGAAAAAAAGAGAGAAAGACUGUAUUCUAUUUAUUUUCAAUUUUGUAAGGCCUCGAGUUUUAAUCUAUUUUUUAGACAUUCAUUUCUCUCAGUAGAGGGAUAAAUUCGCUUUUAAGAGAGUUAGUGGAAAUUCUUUUACAACAACGUAUAAAUAAAUAUCGUUAUUUCCUUUUUCACUUUCGUUUAUGUUUGAUUAUAAUGUGCUGAAGAAGAA